This 505-nucleotide ribosomal RNA is filed under the name uncultured bacterium. Its description in RNAcentral is "partial 16S ribosomal RNA". It matches the Rfam family "Bacterial small subunit ribosomal RNA", at positions 28 to 507 of the family's 1533-position model. The record is from RNAcentral.
GACGAACGCUGGCGGCGUGCCUAAUACAUGCAAGUAGAACGCACAGUUUAUACCGUAGCUUGCUACACCAUAGACUGUGAGUUGCGAACGGGUGAGUAACGCGUAGGUAACCUGCCUGGUAGCGGGGGAUAACUAUUGUAAACGAUAGCUAAUACCGCAUAAUAUUAAUUAUUGCAUGAUAAUUAAUUGAAAGGUGCAAUUGCACCACUACCAGAUGGACCUGCGUUGUAUUAGCUAGUAGGUGAGGUAACGGCUCACCUAGGCGACGAUACAUAGCCGACCUGAGAGGGUGAUCGGCCACACUGGGACUGAGACACGGCCCAGACUCCUACGGGAGGCAGCAGUAGGGAAUCUUCGGCAAUGGACGAAAGUCUGACCGAGCAACGCCGCGUGAGUGAAGAAGGUUUUCGGAUCGUAAAGCUCUGUUGUAAGAGAAGAACGGGUGUGAGAGUGGAAAGUUCACACUGUGACGGUAUCUUACCAGAAAGGGACGGCUAACUACGUG